This 68-nucleotide transfer RNA is filed under the name Parazen pacificus (parazen). RNAcentral describes it as "tRNA-Ser". The record is from RNAcentral. Lineage: Eukaryota; Metazoa; Chordata; Actinopteri; Zeiformes; Parazenidae.
GAGAAUGGUCCGACGACAAUGAAAACUGCUAAUCUUCACCCCCUUGGUUAAACUCCAAGGCUCUCUCG